GAAAUACGGUGGCUCAACCAUCGCAGUGCCUUUGAUACUGAUGGGCUUGAAUCCAUAUGAAGUGGGCGGAAUAAGACAAGUAGCGGUGAAAUGCAUAGAUAUGUCUUAGAACUCCGAUUGCGAAGGCAGCUCACUAAGCUGGUAUUGACGCUGAUGCACGAAAGCGUGGGGAUCGAACAGGAUUAGAUACCCUGGUAGUCCACGCCCUAAACGAUGAUAACUCGAUGUUGGCGAUAGACAGCCAGCGUCUUAGCGAAAGCGUUAAGUUAUCCACCUGGGGAGUACGCCCGCAAGGGUGAAACUCAAAGGAAUUGACGCGGGCCCGCACAAGCGGAGGAGCAUGUGGUUUAAUUCGAUGAUACGCGAGGAACCUUACCCGGGCUUGAAAGUUAGUGAAGGUAGCAGAGACGCUACCGUCCUUCGGGACACGAAACUAGGUGCUGCAUGGCUGUCGUCAGCUCGUGCCGUGAGGUGUUGGGUUAAGUCCCGCAACGAGCGCAACCCCUAUGUUUAGUUGCCAGCAUGUAGUGGUGGGGACUCUAAACAGACUGCCUGCGCAAGCAGCGAGGAAGGUGGGGACGACGUCAAGUCAUCAUGGCCCUUACGUCCGGGGCUACACACGUGCUACAAUGGAUGGUACAGCGGGCAGCUAGCUGGCAACAGCAUGCUAAUCUCUAAAAGCCAUUCACAGUUCGGAUUGGGGUCUGCAACUCGACCCCAUGAAGUUGGAUUCGCUAGUAAUCGCGUAUCAGCAAUGACGCGGUGAAUACGUUCCCGGGCCUUGUACACACCGCCCGUCAAGCCAUGAAAGUUGGGGGUACCUAAAGCAUGUGACCGCAAGGAGCG
RNAcentral lists this ribosomal RNA (846 nucleotides) under Sphingobacterium changzhouense. RNAcentral's name for it is "bacterial SSU rRNA". It matches the Rfam family "Bacterial small subunit ribosomal RNA", at positions 596 to 1454 of the family's 1533-position model. The record is from RNAcentral. Lineage: Bacteria; Pseudomonadati; Bacteroidota; Sphingobacteriia; Sphingobacteriales; Sphingobacteriaceae.